UGGGCACUCUGCRGAGACUGCCGGUGAUAAACCGGAGGAAGGUGGGGAUGACGUCAAGUCAGCAUGGCCUUUAUGUCUGGGGCUACACACGUGCUACAAUGGCCGRUACAAACCGUCGCGAUMYCGCAAGRKGGAGCUAAUCSGAGAAAGYCGGUCUCAGUUCGGAUUGYAGGCUGCAACUCGCCUGCAUGAAGUUGGAAUCGCUAGUAAUCGCGGAUCAGCACGCCGCGGUGAAUACGU
Molecule: ribosomal RNA, 240 nt
Filed under: uncultured bacterium
Lineage: Bacteria
Description: partial 16S ribosomal RNA
Rfam family: Bacterial small subunit ribosomal RNA
Source: RNAcentral